CCCUUAGAUGUUCUGGGCUGCACGCGCGCUACACUGAAGCUAUCAACACGUUUUCCCUCCCUGAGAAGGGCGGGUAACCUUUUGAAUCAGCUUCGUGGUAGGGAUCGGGGCUUGCAAUUGUUCCCCGUGAACCAGGAAUUCCUAGUAGACGCGAGUCAUAAGCUCGCAUCGAUUAAGUCCCUGCCCUUUGUACACACCGCUCGUCGCUACUACCGAUUGAACGUUUUAGUGAGGCAUUUGGACCGACGCAUCUCAGUUUAACCGCUGGUUUGUGUUGGAAAGACUUCCAAACUUGAGCGUUUAGAGGAAGUAAAAGUCGUAACA
Molecule: ribosomal RNA, 324 nt
Filed under: uncultured eukaryote
Lineage: Eukaryota
Description: partial 18S ribosomal RNA
Rfam family: Eukaryotic small subunit ribosomal RNA
Source: RNAcentral